CGCGUAGGCGGGAUAUUAAGUCUCUUGUCAAAGUGCGGGGCUCAACCCCGUGAUGCGGGAGAAACUAAUAUUCUUGAGUGCCGGAGAGGAAAGCGGAAUUCCCAGUGUAGCGGUGAAAUGCGUAGAUAUUGGGAGGAACACCUGUGGCGAAGGCGGCUUUCUGGACGGUGUCUGACACUGAGGCGCGAAAGCCAGGGGAGCGAACGGGAUUAGAUACCCCGGUAGUCCUGGCCGUAAACGAUGGGUACUAGGUGUAGGGGGUAUCGACCCCUCCUGUGCCGGAGUUAACGCAAUAAGUACCCCGCCUGGGGAGUACGGCCGCAAGGUUGAA
Molecule: ribosomal RNA, 331 nt
Filed under: uncultured bacterium
Lineage: Bacteria
Description: bacterial SSU rRNA
Rfam family: Bacterial small subunit ribosomal RNA
Source: RNAcentral